AUCAGAGCCCUAGACACUUGAGCCACCACCAACUACUCAGGAUCACCUACAAGUUACCCAUAGGAAGGGCAACAUUUUCAAGCAGAAGGGGUGAGAUUCACAACAAUAAAUAUAGAUAAUAAAUUCAUCAAUUGAAUCUAACACCCUAACAUAAUAAUAAUGAUUCACAUAUAAAUGUAUAUUUCAUAAUCAGCACAUCAUCAACAAUGGUAUUUACAACCAAGACAACGACUCAUGCGACACUCGACAACUCCACUAAGACUCCUCUACAAUGCACAUGUAUGUGGUACCAAUUUACAGGGCAGUAGCCCUCACCGGAUAUUGAAUGGUUAAAGCAUUCAUCAGGGCCUAAGCCCUCACCGCUUUGAACAAUAAGUGUUCCAGGACAUGACUCCUCCCGCUUUGAACGACAAGGCGUUCCAGAGCAAGAGCCCUCCCGCUUUAUAUGCUUAUGCAACUGACUCCACUUGUGUAUAUCUACAUACAACUUCAACAAAUGCAUAUAUAUGUAUAUGACUCAAAACCGACUAUUCAACAACAUGUAUGAUUUAAUUACAUAAAAGCAUACAUCACAGUCAACAAGAUAUCAGUAUAAUCAAUCCAACAAUUCCAGAAAUAUGCACAAUUAAUAAUAAUCAUGCUUAGACAUCAAUAUCAUUCAACAACAUUCAAUUAAAGAACAAGCAGCUUCAGAAAUGGGCAACUCGCCUCGCGAGUACAUCUACUCGAUAUGGUGAGCACAAGAAAACGGGUUGCUCGCCGUGGCGAACUCAAGGCUAAUGAAAAUAUGGUGCUCUCGGGAGUUUUGACAUUUUUCUCACUAAAUCUUCAUUUUUAAGCUCCCCAUUCAUCUUUUUAAUCUAAAAAUUGUCCCAGUCCUCUCUAAAAUCAUUUNGUUUGGGUUAUUACUCUGAUGAAUUAUUUAUUAAUUAAUUGCUUUGGGAUAACGGGGUGUUACAAUUGGUAUGAGAGCAGGUUCGUUCCGUCCGAUCAAGUAGUAGAGUCGUGUUGAGCCACCUAGGAUAGAGUGUCAACUCUAAUUUUGUUUUUGUUGUUGUUUUGAAUUGUUGCUUCUUAUGUAAAACCUUAAGAUGGCUGGUCAUAAUGAUGCUGCUAUUGCUGCUGCACUUGAGGUUGUAGCUCAAGCUGUACUACAACAACCGAACGCUGCUACUGGUAACGGUGAAGUGAUGAUGUUGGAGACCUUUUUGAGGAAUCAUCCACAAGCAUUCAAAGGAAGGUAUGAUCCCGAUGGUGCCCAUAAGUGGCUUAAAGAAGUGGAAAGGAUUUUCAGGGUAAUGCAAUGCAAUGAAGUGCAGAAAGUGCGGUUCGGGACGCACAUGUUGGCUGAGGAAGCCGAUGACUGGUGGGUAAGUUUGUUAAUAGUACUCCUUAAAGUGUUUGCUCUGACUGGUACGCAAACCACUAGUGAGGAUCGACUUAUCAGAGGUACUUGUUUCAUUAAUAGUACUCCUUUAAUUGCUAUUAUAGACACUGGUGCUACUCAUUGUUUCAUUGCUAUUGAAUGUACUUAUAAGUUGGGUCUGGUUGUAUCUGAUAUGAAACGGGAAAUAGUUGUUGAAACUCCAGCUAAGGGUUCAGUAACUACUUCUCUUGUUUGUCUAAGGUGUCCGUUGUCUAUGUUUGGUAGAGACAUUAAAGUCGACUUAGUUUGUUUACCGUUGACGGGAUGGAUGUUAUUUUUUGGAUGAACUGGUUAGAAUAUAACCGAGUUCAUAUCAAUUGUUUUAGCAAGACGGUGCAUUUUUCUUCUGCGGAAGAAGAAAGUGGAGCAGAGUUCCUAUCUACGAAAUAGUUAAAGCAGUUGGAGCGUGACGGAAUUCUAAUGUUUUCUUUGAUGGCAUAUUUGUCGUUAGAGAAUCAAGCUGUGAUUGACAGGUUGCCAGUUGUGAAUGACAAGUUUGUAAGACCAAGUGUUUCACCUUGGGGAGCGCCGGUGUUGUUGGUUAAGAAGAAGGAUGGUAGCAUGAGGUUAUGCAUUGAUUAUCGUCAGUUGAACAAAGUUACGAUAAAGAACAGGUAUCCACUUCCGAGGAUUGACGACUUAAUGGAUCAGUUAGUGGGUGCAAAGGUUUUCAGCAAGAUUGACUUAAGGUCAGGUACCAUCAGAUUAAGGUGAAAGAUGAGGAUAUGCAGAAGACGGCCUUUGGGACACGAUAUGGUCAUUACGAAUAUAAGGUGAUGCCUUUCGGUGUUACUAAUGCGCCUAGUGUGUUUAUGGAGUAUAUGAACCGAAUUUUCCAUGCUUACCUAGAUAAAUUCGUGGUUGUGUUUAUUGAUGACAUCUUGAUUUAUUCAAAGACUGAAGAAGAGCAUGCAGAACAUCUGAAGAUUGUAUUGCAAGUAUUGAAAGAAAAGAAGUUGUAUGUCAAGUUGUCAAAGUGUGAGUUCUGGUUAAGUGAAGUAAGUUUUCUUGGCCAUAUUAUUUCUGGUAGUGGUAUUGCAGUUGAUCCAUCGAAAGUUGACGCAGUAUCACAAUGGGAGACUCCGAAGUUAGUGACUAAAAUCAUAAGUUUCUUGGGUUUGGCUGGUUAUUACCGCAGGUUUAUUGAAGGAUUUUCGAAGUUAGCACUUCCGUUGACUCAGUUGACCUAUAAGGGUAAGUCUUUUGUGUGGGAUGCUCAGUGUGAGAGUAGUUUCAAUGAGUUGAAGCAAAGAUUGACGACUGCUCCUAUUUUGAUUUUACCGAAGCCGGAAGAACCUUUUGUUGUUUAUUGUGAUGCGUCCAAGUUGGGCUCAGGUGGUGUUUUGAUGCAAGAUGGCAAAGUGUAAGCAUAUGCUUCUAGGCAGUUGAGAGUUCAUGAAAAGAAUUAUCCUACACAUGAUUUGGAGUUAGCUGCGGUGGUUUUUGUUUUGAAAAUUUUGAGGCAUUACUUGUACGGAUCCAGAUUUGAAGUAUUUAGUGAUCACAAAAAUUUAAAAUAUUUAUUUGAUUGGAAAGAGUUGAACAUGAGGCAGAGAAGAUGGUUAGAGCUGUUGAAAGAUUAUGAUUUUGGCUUGAAUUAUCAUCCAGGUAAAGCUAAUGUGGUUGCAGAUGCGUUGAGUAGGAAGACGUUGCACAUGUCUGCUACGAUGGUAAAAGAAUUUGAUUUGCUAGAGCAGUUUAGAGACUUGAGUCUUGUCUGUGAGUUGACACCUCAGAGUGUUCAGUUGGGAAUGCUGAAGAUUAACAUUGAUUUCUUGAAUAGUAUUCGAGAAGCGCAGCAAGUAGAUGUGAAGUUUGUUGAUUUGAUGGUUGCUGGUAAUGAAACUGAAGAUAGUGACUUUAAGGUUGAUGAUCAAGGUGUGUUGAGAUUCAAAGGAAGAAUUUGCAUUCCUGAUAAUGAUGAUGUGAAAAAGUUGAUUUUGGAGGAAAGCCACAAGAGUAGCUUAAGUAUUCAUCCGGGAGCUACGAAAAUGUAUCAUGAUUUGAAGAAGCUGUUUUGGUGGUCCGGUUUGAAGCGUGAUGUCGCUCAUUUUGUGUAUGCAUGUUUGACUUGUCAAAAGUCUAAGGUUGAACAUCAGAAGCCUGCAGGGUUGUUGACACCGUUGGAUGUGCCGGAGUGGAAGUGGGAUAGCAUUUCUAUGGAUUUUGUGACGAGUUUACUGAUGAAGGAUUUUUACCUCUCAUAAAACUAUUUACACGUAAGUAUAAUAGGAUCGUGUCCACAGGGAGUUGCGUAUUUCAUAAGCAUUUUCACAAUAUUUGUCACAUUAAUUGUUUGGGUAUAAAUUGUUUGUUUAUGUAAAACUAUUUUCCUAAUCGACAUAAUAGUAAAACGAGAAGAGAUAGGGCUAUUCCGCUUGCGGUCAGAGACAUCAACCAAGCGUAACAGCUGCAAUCUCUCGAUCGAUUAACGGAUUCUAGCUUUUUAAACUAUAUUAUCACAAUCACUCGUCAAUAUCAUUCGUGUCCAAAUGAUAUCGUUAUUUCUAAGGGAUCGUUUAAACAUCGAUUUCCCAAACAUUUAAACGAUCACAAAGUAGAUUGGAUAGUUUAAUCGACGAUUUCCCAACCGAUUAAAUUACCCAAAAGCAUUAAGUCCUAGAUUAAAAGUAAUUAUCAAAUAUUAACAUCCAUUUCUAGAGUGAUAACUUAAGAUAGAUUGUUAUUCUAUUUCUAGAUUCAAAAGUAUGUGUCCAUAUCAUUUUGAAUCUCAAUAAAACAUUAAAUGCAAGAAUAACAACAAUAUUGAAUAAAUAGCUAGUACCAUAUAUUAAAAGAUCAAAAGAUUACAUAAUAGCUUGUUUGAAUACCUCAAAACACACAAGGGUAGAUGCAGCUAUAUGUCUAUGAUAGCUUUGCAAAGGAUGAAGAAGAGAUGAAGAUUCAAUGCCUAGAUUCAUGAUGUCUCAAUAAAUCUUGGGUUGAAUCUACUCCUAACACCUUGCUUUGUGUUUCUCUAGAAAUGCCAAACCAAAAUUCUCCCAAAAUGAUGUUGCUGCCGCCUGCUGUUCCAUGGCUGCAAAACUGCAAAACGUGAAUCCUCCCCCCCUUUUCUUUAAGUUCCUGUGCGGCUCUUAUAUAUCCCUCUUUCUCCUCUUUUAUUUCCGUUUCCUUUUGCUCUCGGGUCAACCAAUUCAACUUGGUUCAAAGGCCCAUUUGUUUUUGUUUUGCUAAUUCACCAAGAAAUUGCUGCACGUGUGGCCUCUUGUAACAACCAACACAUGAUAUUUUUCAUUUUAACUUCAUUGUUCCACACUUAAAUGUAGGCCACACCUUUGUUAUAUCAUGUAGUCAUUGAUCCAUAAUAAUAAUAAUAGGUAGUAAUAUAUUAGUUGACUCAAUAAAUAAGAAAAUGAUAAUUUAUUUAAAAUGACUCUAAAUUAAAUACUAAACUAAUAAAAAUAGACUAAAAACUUAACUAAAAAGACUCUAAAAAUGUAAUAUGACGGACUGUCAUCAUUUACCUUACACUCCUAGAGGGCAUGAUGCUAUAUGGGUUGUGGUCGACAGGUUGACGAAGUCGGCGCACUUUAUUUCGAUUAAUAUCAGUUAUCCGGUAGCUCAGUUGGCGGAGAUUUAUAUUAAUAAUAUUGUGAAGCUACAUGGUGUACCGUCGAGUAUUGUGUCGGAUAGGGAUCCGAGGUUCAUUUCUAAAUUUUGGAAGAGCUUACAAGAUGCAUUGGAUUCGAAGUUGAGGUUGAGUUCGGCUUAUCAUCCUCAGACAGAUGGUCAGUCGGAGAGGACGAUCCAAUCAUUGGAGGAUUUACUGAGAGUGUGUGUGCUUGAGCAAGGUGGAGCUUAGGAUAGUCACCUACCGUAGAUAGAGUUCACAUACAACAACAGUUACUAUUCGAGUAUUGGUAUGGCACCGUUCGAAGCUUUGUAUGGUCGGAGGUGUAGGACUCAUUUAUGCUGGUUUGAGUCAAUAGAGAGUGUUGUGUUGGGACCGGAAUUGAUUCAUCAGACUACAGAGAAAGUCAAGAUGAUCAGAGAGAAGAUGAAAGCGUCGCAGAGUCGACAGAAGAGUUAUCAUGACAAACGUAGGAAGGCCCUUGAGUUUCAGGAGGGUGAUCAUGUAUUUCUAAGAGUUACUCCUAUGACGGGUGUAGGACGUGCAUUGAAGUCGACGAAGUUGACUCCAAAGUUCAUUGGUCCGUAUCAGAUAUCGGAGAGGGUUGGAACAGUGGCAUAUAGAGUUGGUUUGCCACCACAUCUUUAGAACUUGCAUGAUGUGUUUCAUGUGUCGCAACUUCGGAAGUAUGUAGCGGAUCCUUCGCAUGUUAUUCCGAGAGAUGAUGUGCAGGUUAGAGACAACCUUACAGUUGAGACCUUACCGUUGAGGAUUGAAGACCGUGAGGUGAAGAAGUUAAGAGGCAAGGAUAUACCUCUAGUGAAGGUUGUUUGGGGUGGAGUAACUGGUGAGAGUUUGACUUGGGAGCUAGAAAUCCCAAUGAGUGAGUAUGUUUAUUUGUUCAGUUUACACUCACUAUUUAUAAAGAGUGUAAGAACAAAUUAACAUGUUUGCAGUAGAGGAAAACACUUUCGAAAGUUUCUCGCUUGCGCGCUUGAGCAUAUAAGUGUAACACCCCGUUAUUCCAAAGCAAUUAAAUAAGAAUAAUACAUCAGAGUCUAAUACCAAACGGGCAUGUCACACUGCUUUUCAAAUUUUCUCAAAAAUAUCAUUAAUUUGCAGCGGAAUAUUUGCAUCAAAAGCAACAACAACAACUGUUUAAUUCUCCAUAAAAUAAUCUUGGCAUAAAAGCCUCAUCAAAAUAAAUCCAACAAUCAAAUAAAGGGCUACAUCAACAUGUUCCAAAAAUUGAUACAUAGGAAUGAAAAAUAAGCAAUUAAAUCCCAUCCCGUACANUUGGCUGGUUAUUACCGCAGGUUUAUUGAAGGAUUUUCGAAGUUAGCACUUCCGUUGACUCAGUUGACCUAUAAGGGUAAGUCUUUUGUGUGGGAUGCUCAGUGUGAGAGUAGUUUCAAUGAGUUGAAGCAAAGAUUGACGACUGCUCCUAUUUUGAUUUUACCGAAGCCGGAAGAACCUUUUGUUGUUUAUUGUGAUGCGUCCAAGUUGGGCUCAGGUGGUGUUUUGAUGCAAGAUGGCAAAGUGUAAGCAUAUGCUUCUAGGCAGUUGAGAGUUCAUGAAAAGAAUUAUCCUACACAUGAUUUGGAGUUAGCUGCGGUGGUUUUUGUUUUGAAAAUUUUGAGGCAUUACUUGUACGGAUCCAGAUUUGAAGUAUUUAGUGAUCACAAAAAUUUAAAAUAUUUAUUUGAUUGGAAAGAGUUGAACAUGAGGCAGAGAAGAUGGUUAGAGCUGUUGAAAGAUUAUGAUUUUGGCUUGAAUUAUCAUCCAGGUAAAGCUAAUGUGGUUGCAGAUGCGUUGAGUAGGAAGACGUUGCACAUGUCUGCUAAGAUGGUAAAAGAAUUUGAUUUGCUAGAGCAGUUUAGAGACUUGAGUCUUGUCUGUGAGUUGACACCUCAGAGUGUUCAGUUGGGAAUGCUGAAGAUUAACAUUGAUUUCUUGAAUAGUAUUCGAGAAGCGCAGCAAGUAGAUGUGAAGUUUGUUGAUUUGAUGGUUGCUGGUAAUGAAACUGAAGAUAGUGACUUUAAGGUUGAUGAUCAAGGUGUGUUGAGAUUCAAAGGAAGAAUUUGCAUUCCUGAUAAUGAUGAUGUGAAAAAGUUGAUUUUGGAGGAAAGCCACAAGAGUAGCUUAAGUAUUCAUCCGGGAGCUACGAAAAUGUAUCAUGAUUUGAAGAAGCUGUUUUGGUGGUCCGGUUUGAAGCGUGAUGUCGCUCAUUUUGUGUAUGCAUGUUUGACUUGUCAAAAGUCUAAGGUUGAACAUCAGAAGCCUGCAGGGUUGUUGACACCGUUGGAUGUGCCGGAGUGGAAGUGGGAUAGCAUUUCUAUGGAUUUUGUGACGAGUUUACUGAUGAAGGAUUUUUACCUCUCAUAAAACUAUUUACACGUAAGUAUAAUAGGAUCGUGUCCACAGGGAGUUGCGUAUUUCAUAAGCAUUUUCACAAUAUUUGUCACAUUAAUUGUUUGGGUAUAAAUUGUUUGUUUAUGUAAAACUAUUUUCCUAAUCGACAUAAUAGUAAAACGAGAAGAGAUAGGGCUAUUCCGCUUGCGGUCAGAGACAUCAACCAAGCGUAACAGCUGCAAUCUCUCGAUCGAUUAACGGAUUCUAGCUUUUUAAACUAUAUUAUCACAAUCACUCGACAAUAUCAUUCGUGUCCAAAUGAUAUCGUUAUUUCUAAGGGAUCGUUUAAACAUCGAUUUCCCAAACAUUUAAACGAUCACAAAGUUGAUUGGAUAGUUUAAUCGACGAUUUCCCAACCGAUUAAAUUACCCAAAAGCAUUAAGUCCUAGAUUAAAAGUAAUUAUCAAAUAUUAACAUCCAUUUCUAGAGUGAUAACUUAAGAUAGAUUGUUAUUCUAUUUCUAGAUUCAAAAGUAUGUGUCCAUAUCAUUUUGAAUCUCAAUAAAACAUUAAAUGCAAGAAUAACAACAAUAUUGAAUAAAUAGCUAGUACCAUAUAUUAAAAGAUCAAAAGAUUACAUAAUAGCUUGUUUGAAUACCUCAAAACACACAAGGGUAGAUGCAGCUAUAUGUCUAUGAUAGCUUUGCAAAGGAUGAAGAAGAGAUGAAGAUUCAAUGCCUAGAUUCAUGAUGUCUCAAUAAAUCUUGGGUUGAAUCUACUCCUAACACCUUGCUUUGUGUUUCUCUAGAAAUGCCAAACCAAAAUUCUCCCAAAAUGAUGUUGCUGCCGCCUGCUGUUCCAUGGCUGCAAAACUGCAAAACGUGAA
Molecule: long non-coding RNA, 8255 nt
Filed under: Medicago truncatula (barrel medic)
Lineage: Eukaryota; Viridiplantae; Streptophyta; Magnoliopsida; Fabales; Fabaceae
Description: long non-coding RNA (MTRU_LNC007138)
Source: RNAcentral